RNAcentral lists this ribosomal RNA (404 nucleotides) under uncultured bacterium. RNAcentral's name for it is "bacterial SSU rRNA". It matches the Rfam family "Bacterial small subunit ribosomal RNA", at positions 355 to 776 of the family's 1533-position model. The record is from RNAcentral.
UGGGGAAUAUUGGACAAUGGGGGAAACCCUGAUCCAGCAAUGCCGCGUGAGUGAUGAAGGCCUUCGGGUUGUAAAACUCUUUUGGCAGGGAAGAUGAUGACUGUACCUGCAGAAUAAGCCCCGGCUAACUUCGUGCCAGCAGCCGCGGUAAUACGAAGGGGGCUAGCGUUGUUCGGAUUUACUGGGCGUAAAGGGCGCGUAGGCGGUUUCUCAAGUUAGGCGUGAAAGCCCCGGGCUCAACCUGGGAAUAGCGCUUGAUACUGGGAGGCUUGAGUUCGGGAGAGGUGAGUGGAAUUCCCAGUGUAGAGGUGAAAUUCGUAGAUAUUGGGAAGAACACCAGUGGCGAAGGCGGCUCACUGGACCGAAACUGACGCUGAGGCGCGAAAGCGUGGGGAGCAAACAGG